RNAcentral lists this ribosomal RNA (169 nucleotides) under uncultured Chloroflexota bacterium. Its description in RNAcentral is "uncultured Chloroflexi bacterium partial 16S ribosomal RNA". It matches the Rfam family "Bacterial small subunit ribosomal RNA", at positions 338 to 524 of the family's 1533-position model. Lineage: Bacteria; Bacillati; Chloroflexota. The record is from RNAcentral.
CCUACGGGAGGCAGCAGUGAGGAAUCUUCCACAAUGGGCGAAAGCCUGAUGGAGCAACGCCGCGUGCAGGAUGAAGGCCUUCGGGUUGUAAACUGCUUUUAUAAGUGAAGAAUAUGACGGUAACUUAUGAAUAAGCACCGGCUAACUACGUGCCAGCAGCCGCGGUAAU